Leguminivora glycinivorella is the source of this 1088-nucleotide long non-coding RNA. RefSeq lists it as uncharacterized. The transcript has 2 exons. Lineage: Eukaryota; Metazoa; Arthropoda; Insecta; Lepidoptera; Tortricidae. The record is from RefSeq and is a predicted model, not a curated record.
UUUCCUGUAUUUUACUCAUUCACCGGCAAGAUGGUUAAGCUUGUGGCAUUGGGUGUGUUAGUGCUUUUGGCUUCAUCGUACGCCUUGCCGUUUAAGACUGAGCUGGGCUGCGGUUGCAGUUGCAGAAACUGGAUCUCACCGUGCCCCAUUCUGCCGCCUUGCCCCAUUUUGCCACCUUGCCCCAUUUUGCCACCUUGCCCCAUUCUGCCACCUUGCCCCAUUCUGCCACCUUGCCCCCGCGUGGAUCCCCUCCCUGCCCCCUGCCCGUGCCCUUGCCCCGAACCUGUCACCCCGCCGUGCCCCCAACCAGAUAUUCAACCCGAGCCGUGCCCCGACGUUGAACCAAUUCCAUCGCCACCCCCAUGCCCAGAUGUUGAACAGAUCUACCCAUACCCCCGCCCGUACCCAUACUUUGAACCUAUCAACCCAUGUCCCCGCCCCUAUAUAGAACCUAUAACCCCCCAACCGCGCCCGUAUAUACAACCAUUUUACCCCUACCCACGACCGUGCCCCGAACCUGUUUACCCACGACCAUUCCCAAUUUACCAGUACCAGUUUAUCAAGCCAUACCCACGCCCGUACCCUGAACUGAUUUCACCUUGUCCGCGCCCCUAUGUGGAGCCUAUUUGCCCCCCAUCGCCUUGCCCCAGACCGGAGCCUAUUUGCCCCAGUCCAAUUGCUAUCCCACGUCCCAUAUGGCAAUCUGUACUGACCAUACGGCCUAGGUGCUCUUGCUCUUAAUUUCAAAAAUUGUUAGCAACAUACUCGAUAAAAUUGAUAUCGAGUGUUAACAGUCGCAGUAGAAAAUUAUCAAAAACAAAUGAAAACUAUAAAAAAGUACAAAAUUAGAUAAAUUCAUCACCCCAAAAAAAUUACACGAGACCAUGGAAUAAAAAGCUAUUCUUAAAUAAAAAUUAGGAAAAUGAACAUGAACUAAGAAAUUUUUUAAAAAUCUGGGAAACAGGAACUUUCUCAAUAUACGGACGAAACUGGAACUUUUGGACUUUCUAAAUUAAUUGAUUGGAUUCAAAAUUGUAAAUACUUCACUCUGAUUCGAUGAACAAAUUUAAUAAAUUGGAUGUUGACAA